Molecule: ribosomal RNA, 439 nt
Filed under: uncultured bacterium
Lineage: Bacteria
Description: partial 16S ribosomal RNA
Rfam family: Bacterial small subunit ribosomal RNA
Source: RNAcentral
CUACGGGAGGCAGCAGUGAGGAGUAUUGCACAAUGGGGGGGACCCUGAUGCAGCAACGCCGCGUGGAGGAUGACGCAUUUCGGUGUGUAAACUCCUUUUAUAUGUCAAGAAAAUGACGGUAGCAUAUGAAUAAGCACCGGCUAACUCCGUGCCAGCAGCCGCGGUAAUACGGAGGGUGCAAGCGUUACUCGGAAUCACUGGGCGUAAAGGACGCGUAGGCGGGUUGGAAAGUCAGGUGUGAAAUCCUACAGCUUAACUGUAGAACUGCACUUGAAACUUCUAAUCUAGAGUAUGGGAGGGGGAGAUGGAAUUAGUGGUGUAGGGGUAAAAUCCGUAGAUAUCACUAGGAAUACCUAAAGCGAAGGCGAUCUCCUGGAACAUUACUGACGCUAAGGCGUGAAAGCGUGGGGAGCAAACAGGAUUAGAUACCCCCGUAGUC